UCCAUGAUGGUCCAGUGGCCAAGACUCUACAUUCCAAUGCAGGUAGCCUUGGUUUGAUCCCUGGUCAUGGAA
This 72-nucleotide transfer RNA is filed under the name Bos taurus (domestic cattle). It matches the Rfam family "tRNA". From Rfam's summary of the family: Transfer RNA (tRNA) molecules are approximately 80 nucleotides in length. Their secondary structure includes four short double-helical elements and three loops (D, anti-codon, and T loops). Further hydrogen bonds mediate the characteristic L-shaped molecular structure. tRNAs have two regions of fundamental functional importance: the anti-codon, which is responsible for specific mRNA codon recognition, and the 3' end, to which the tRNAs corresponding amino acid is attached (by aminoacyl-tRNA synthetases). tRNAs cope with the degeneracy of the genetic code in two manners: having more than one tRNA (with a specific anti-codon) for a particular amino acid; and 'wobble' base-pairing, i.e. permitting non-standard base-pairing at the 3rd anti-codon position. The record is from Rfam by way of RNAcentral. Lineage: Eukaryota; Metazoa; Chordata; Mammalia; Artiodactyla; Bovidae. RNAcentral also lists the same sequence under 2 other names.